Molecule: ribosomal RNA, 499 nt
Filed under: uncultured bacterium
Lineage: Bacteria
Description: partial 16S ribosomal RNA
Rfam family: Bacterial small subunit ribosomal RNA
Source: RNAcentral
AUUGAACGCUGGCGGAAUGCUUUACACAUGCAAGUCGAACGGCAGCACGGACUUCGGUCUGGUGGCGAGUGGCGAACGGGUGAGUAAUGUAUCGGAACGUGCCCAGUCGUGGGGGAUAACGUAGUGAAAAUUACGCUAAUACCGCAUACGAUCUAUGGAUGAAAGCGGGGGAUCGCAAGACCUCGCGCGAUUGGAGCGGCCGAUAUCAGAUUAGGUAGUUGGUGGGGUAAAGGCCCACCAAGCCAACGAUCUGUAGCUGGUCUGAGAGGACGACCAGCCACACUGGAACUGAGACACGGUCCAGACUCCUACGGGAGGCAGCAGUGGGGAAUUUUGGACAAUGGGCGAAAGCCUGAUCCAGCCAUUCCGCGUGCAGGAUGAAGGCCCUCGGGUUGUAAACUGCUUUUGUACGGAACGAAAAGGUUUCUACUAAUACUAGGAGCUCAUGACGGUACUGUAAGAAUAAGCACCGGCUAACUACGUGCCAGCCGCCGCGGUA